UGUAUUAUAUAUAAUGCCGAGAUAAAUUAUGAAUGGACUGAUAAGUAAUUAAUUUUUAUGAAUUUGUAUAUGUAUGCAUACAUAUAUAUGUAUUUGUAUGUAUAUAUGAUAUAUAAUUUAAAUUUGAUAUAAUUAUUUUAGAUAAUGAUAAUUUAUGUAUGAUUUUUAUUGAAUAAUUUGUUCACAAAGCAUUUGCUUAGCAGCCCAUUUACUAGAAAUAUUUAUAUACUACUAUGUAUUUAGGAUAAACAAAUGUGUAUGUCUCAGCGGUAUCGAUCUAGUAAUUUAAAAAAAAAUAUGUAUUAUUAAUUAAUCCACGAAUAACGGUGCGACCUCCUAUUGAUCAUAUCUAUCAUUCGACUCGAUUCGAUCGAUAAAUGAUGUUUUCAUAUCGAUUUUAUAAGUUGAGAAAAAAAUCGAUAAAAAUAUUUAUUGGUCGAAUCGUGAGUUUGUAAUCGCUCACAAUGCAACACCGUGUCUCUCGUACAAAUUGCGGUAGAAUUUUCAUUAUUUAACCAUCUACGACAAUAUCGAGAAUCAUUUAAUCUUAUUUCCAAAUUAUUUCGAGGAGUAAAGGGAAAAAAAUCGCAAAUAUGUAAUGAAUUAUCAAGAAGUUCAGAAAAUUAAUCAUUGAAGAUUAGAUUAAUUCUCGAAUCGUCGAGAUGGUUCUAGAUUAGUUACGUAAUUUUGCAUUACUCUUAAUAUCGUAAGUUAGCAUGUAAACAAUUAAUUACCGACGAGGAAAAAGAAUAUCGCAUAAGUAAAAAUACCGGUAGUUCGAUUUCCAUUCAUGGGAUAUUAUCGUAUCAUCCAGAUAUUUCCGAUUAUGAAAGGAAUCUCUCAGUGCUUUCAACUGUGAUUUUGUCUAAUGUCCUCCAUUUAUUAAUUUAUUAAUCUUUUUGCGAGCUACCGGGUAUUCGAAAAAAAAUAUCGGUCGUGUCUAACGAAGAAAGACGACGUUACUCGUACGUAUCAAAACAAACAAAGAAAUAUUCUCAUAUAUAAGUACCUCGAAUUCUGAUGGACAAUUGCUGUAGAAUCUCGUUUAACGUCCGCCAGAUAAUGUUUUUUUUAUUCUUCAUUUAGAAGAUAUAUAUCUUCGUUUAUUCGCUAGUUUUUUUCUUUUUUUACAUCGUGUAUAAAUUAUAUAGAAAUUUAAUAUUUUUCUUUUCCUUUUCCUUUUUAAUCAUUUUUCAUCAUAUUAUGUCGAUAAAACAAGAAACAGAAUGUUUUUUUAUUGGUCAAUUAUAGAGAGGGAAAGUGAUGACGCAAAUAUUAAACCAUUCCACUUUUUCGUGUAAAUGUAUAUUGUUGUUUCAUUUUUCGUUUAUGAUUUAAGUGCAAGUGGAAGUUGGACACUCUGAGAGGCGUUUGUAGUUACUAAAUUGCAUAGGAAUAACUACUAGUUAUAAAAUCUAGUAAUUAGCUCUCUAUAUUUUUACUUAUAAUUAUAUUACUUUUCAGUGCAUAAAUAAUAUGUUGAUUUAAUUAUUUUUAUUAAUCGAAUGAAAUUUUUGUUUUAGAACAAAUUUAAAUGAAAAUUCACAAUUUUGUUUUUUUUUUUUUUUAAUAAAAAAUGUUAUUUUACAUAUGAUUGCCAGUACACAAAUCGCUUAUUGUUAUUCCUUUGUAAUUGGUGCAAUGAUUAUAUGAUGACUCUUGUCAUCAGAAAAUGCUAGUUACAUUUUCUCGAAAAGGAGUCUUGAUAAACGUCAGCAAUGUUGAGGCUCCGUGCAAGCACGUGAAAGUUCUCCUUUGUACAUAAUAUAUACGAUAGCGAUAUUAAACGAUAGCUAUAUAAUUCUAUACGAAUAGGAAGCGACUACAUUAGGAGUAGAUAUGCGUGUUUGUAUAGGUGCAAGAAAGAAAUAAGCGUUAGCAAAGAAGAAACCCCAUUAUUAUGGGGAAUUUUUCUUGAGAUGGCGGAAAUAUCCGCAUGAGAUUAUCAUUGUAUUUAUAUCGUAUACCUUCUUCCACACUCCUUUUUAUCCGCUGCCACGUGCAACUGCGUAAAAUAAAAGACUAAAAUGCAAUGGAAUGAUGUGUAGAUAUAAUGUUUUCCGCCAUGGAAUUCUCGAAACGGAUUUCUUACGAAGUGAGUGAAAUAGAGGUUAAAAUAGUAUUUGAAAUAAAUUAAUUUCUUAUUUUUUUUAUAGAAAAUAAAAAUUAAUUUUUUAUGAUCUUAUUAAUGAUAGUGAUUAUUUUUUGAUGUGGUAAUUUUCUUAAUUUGUAACUAUAACUAUAUAGAAAAAAUUAAUAUAAAUGAUUAAAUAAUAAUUUAUCUGAUUUGAUUUACUUUAUACUAUUUAUUACAAAUACUAUUGCCUCCAGAUUUGUGUGAAUUCUCGUUGGAUCGAGGCCAGUUUAAAAAAACAACUUAGUUAUUUAGAUUGUGCGAUUAAUCGCUAAUUUAAUUUCCCGCGUUUUUUGCAUCUGCGUUUCAUCGACGAUAUCUUCGGUUUCUUUUUGUGAAUUUUCUUUUCAUUUAUCUCUCGAUUCUAAUGAAUCAUAUAUCGCUCAAAAAUAUUUUUUGAUAAAUUAAAUUAUUGUCAAAAAAAAA
Molecule: long non-coding RNA, 2560 nt
Filed under: Apis florea (little honeybee)
Lineage: Eukaryota; Metazoa; Arthropoda; Insecta; Hymenoptera; Apidae
Description: uncharacterized LOC116414658
Source: RNAcentral